RNAcentral lists this long non-coding RNA (2238 nucleotides) under Mus musculus (house mouse). RNAcentral's name for it is "predicted gene, 19424 (Gm19424)". Lineage: Eukaryota; Metazoa; Chordata; Mammalia; Rodentia; Muridae. The record is from RNAcentral.
CUACAGGGCAAAGCACUUCAGAAGGUCUCACAGGACAAGGAGACAUUGGUUGGACAGCUGCAGAGUGUGACCCGACCCCUCAGCAAACACAGCAGCCGGGACAAGACACCAGCAGAGGGACAGCCCGAGACGCACAGUGGUGUGUGAUUCUUCUUCUCGCUGUGUAGAAAUACCUGACAAGGGCAACUUAAGCCCAGAAGUAGGCAUGGUGGUGUGUUUUUAAUCAGAUGCUCCGGAAUCAAAGCCAAACCGCUCUGGGAACAUCUUCACAGACAUGCCCAGAGGUUUCUCUUCAAGGCGGCUCUAAAUCCUGGCAAGUUGGUUUUGCUGACAUCACAAGGAUCUGGAAGAGAUGAGUCACAUCCCAGAGGCCCCGGGCCCAGCCAUCCUCUGGUUCUGUACAGUUGCCUAUGUCACCCGGCCUGUUCUCAUGCUGAAACGCACGUCUGGAUAUGUAAGUGCUCAGACAUGCACUGCCUCUGGAACGUGUUUGCUUUCAGGGAAGGGACCCAGGUGGUAACAGGACAACGUCCACAUCCACUUACUUUCUGCCCUUUGGAGAGUUUAUUCCAUACAGUGUGAUGUAACUACCAUCACGCACGUGCUAUUUGAAAAGUCAUUUGGGAGUGCCCACUACGUAUGCUGAUUCCUGGGACCAUAGGUCUACAUUGUGGGUUUCCAAAGACUGUGGCCUACGAGCCAAGGUCUGGUGUGCUGAGGUGAGGCGUUUGAGCACUGUGGUGGUUUGAAUAAGAAUGCCCCCCCCCCCAAUAGACUCAUGUGUUUGUGUGCUUGGCCGGAAGGAAGUGGCUCUAUAAGGAGAUGUGACUUGGUUGGAGUGGGCGUGGCCUCAUUGGAGGAAGUGUGUCACUGUGGAGACCGGCUUUGAAGUCUCAUAUGCUCAAGCUACGCCCAAUGGGAGACACAGUCUCCUUCUGCUGCCUUCAGGUCAAAAUGUAGAACUUCCAGUUCCUUCUCCAGCGCCAUGUCUGACUCCAUGCUACCAAGUUUCCCACCAUGGCGAUAACAGACUAAACCUCUGGAACCGCAAGGUGGCCCCAACUAAAUUUUUCCUUUAUAACAUUGCUGUGGUCUUGGUUUCUCUUCACAGCAAUAGAAACCCUAAAGAGACAUGUGCUUGAACACUCUAGGGAACCACUGAAAGGAGCCUCCUGGCCCUGACAAGGGAGCUGAGACCUGCCUGCUUUCUCUCCAUUAGCAUCGAUGAGGCCUAUCAGAAGAGAAAGUCCAGAAUAGGUCCAGAAACCGAGAGUCACCCUGUGUGAUCAGGACAACACUGGCCUAUUAAGCAAGAGACAAGCAACUAGAGGAGGGGAAGAAGAGAGCGGAGCCACCAAGUCCGGUGUGCCACAGUGUGCUCAGUCACUACCCAGAUGCUGAGUAUGAACCAGGAGUGCCCGGGGGGCAGGGAUGGGGGUGGGGGACUCUCACCAGGCUCUGCACACCUCGACUGUAGUUCUCAAAUUUGAAAGGUUUUUCACCAUUAUCUCUUCACAUUUUUUUGUCCCCUCCAUCUGGAACCCCACACCCACAAAAAAAACAUCCUCUUGAAGCCACCUCCUGGCUCACCGAUGCUCUGCCCAUAGUUUUACAGCCUGCUUCUGUGUUUUGUUUUUGAUGAGUUUGUUACUGUGUUGUUACAUUCAGUGUCUUUCCUCUUUGGUUGUCUAACCCAUCCUCAAGACCAUCUAGUACGAUUUCCCAAACACUGCAGGUUUUUAUCUCAGGUUACCACACUUAGGACUGAACGUAGGGCCUUCCAAAAGCCCAAGCAAGCCCAUACCACUGAACUACGUCUUCAGCCCUCUUCGUUUGCUUUUGAGAUGUGGGCUCCCUAAGUCGCCCAACCUAGAACUCAUUCUGUAGCUGCUGAAAAUACAUGCUCACACCAGCAGCUCCGUCCCACAGAUCUUUACUUUUAUUUAUUUUAUGUGUCUGGGUAUUUUGCCUGCAUGUAUGUUUGCUUGUUUGCACCCCACAUGUAUGCCUGGUGCCUGAGGAGACCAAAAAAGGACAUCAGACUCCUUGGAACUGGAGUUGCAGAUGGUUGUGAGGUGCCAUGUAGAUUCUGGGGAGUCCUCUGCAGGAGCAGAAGGUGACCUUAACCACGGAGCCAUCUCUCCAGUCCAGCCCCCACGCCCAAUUUGUCCCUAAUAUGUUUGCUUCCCUCUACUUUAUGUUCACGUGGAAUAGAGUUCUAAUUGAUUGAUUUUUGUC